RNAcentral lists this ribosomal RNA (545 nucleotides) under Elates ransonnettii (dwarf flathead). Its description in RNAcentral is "partial 16S large subunit ribosomal RNA". It matches the Rfam family "Bacterial large subunit ribosomal RNA", at positions 264 to 1050 of the family's 2925-position model. The record is from RNAcentral. Lineage: Eukaryota; Metazoa; Chordata; Actinopteri; Perciformes; Platycephalidae.
UGCCCACUAGCUAGCCCACCCAACCAACACCAACUAACCCCUAUUAAUACCCCCAAAUACACAAACCCCCAUUAAACAAACCAUUUUUCCCCCCUAGUAUGGGCGACAGAAAAGGACACACGGAGCCAUAGAGAAAGUACCGCAAGGGAACGCUGAAAGAGAAAAUGAAAUAACCCAGUAAAGCCUAAAAAAGCAGAGAUUCAACCUCGUACCUUUUGCAUCAUGAUUUAGCCAGUGAGCCCCGAGCAAAGAGAACUUUAGUUUGAAAACCCGAAACUAAGUGAGCUACUCCAAGACAGCCUAUAAUAGGGCAAACCCGUCUCUGUGGCAAAAGAGUGGGAAGAGCUUUGAGUAGAGGUGACAAACCUACCGAACCUAGUAAUAGCUGGUUGCUCGAGAACUGAAUAGGAGUUCAGCCUCCCGGCUUCUCCCUUCCCCUUAAUUCUGUCCCUCCCUGAUUUAAUUGAGAAACCGAGAGAGUUAUUCAAAGGGGGUACAGCCCCUUUGAAACAAGACACAACUUUUCCAGGAGGGUAAAGAUCAUA